CGGCACGUAGCGCAGCGGUAGCGCACCGUCAUGGGGUGUCGGGGUCGGAGGUUCAAAUCCUCUCGUGCCGACCA
RNAcentral lists this transfer RNA (74 nucleotides) under Escherichia coli. Its description in RNAcentral is "tRNA-Pro". It matches the Rfam family "tRNA". From Rfam's summary of the family: Transfer RNA (tRNA) molecules are approximately 80 nucleotides in length. The record is from RNAcentral. Lineage: Bacteria; Pseudomonadati; Pseudomonadota; Gammaproteobacteria; Enterobacterales; Enterobacteriaceae.